UCUAUAUCAUCCACUUCAGAAGAAACACAUUAGCGAUUCAACAAACUCUCUAGAAUAAAAUAUUGAAAGACCUACAGAAAUGGAAAAGGCAAACAUAAGCCAGCGGGAGCUUCAGGCCAUUAAGAGCCUUAUGCUACUCAGCAACACUCACAAAAAUGUCAGUGUUGAAAACCAGCUUCUGGCACUUAAAGAAGUGAACACCAGACAAAAUCUGGAAAUCCGAGGCCUGAAAUGCAAAAUCAGCAGCAU
Molecule: long non-coding RNA, 249 nt
Organism: Silurus meridionalis
Lineage: Eukaryota; Metazoa; Chordata; Actinopteri; Siluriformes; Siluridae
Exons: 4
Source: RefSeq, a predicted model, not a curated record